RNAcentral lists this long non-coding RNA (217 nucleotides) under Phoenix dactylifera (date palm). RNAcentral's name for it is "long non-coding RNA (PDAC_LNC000502)". The record is from RNAcentral. Lineage: Eukaryota; Viridiplantae; Streptophyta; Magnoliopsida; Arecales; Arecaceae.
CAAAGGUGGCAUGCGGAGAGCUAAGAUGGGGAGUCCAAGUAGAAAAAUGGAGCACGCCUGAGGCUUACAUGGCCGGGUUUGAGGGGUUUUGACCCGAUGGAUUGAUGGGGUUAGAUCUAGAGGAUGCGCAUGCAUCUAUUCCCAUGUCGCCCUGUUUAUUUGGAAGGUGACAUGGAGGUGUCUGCCAAUCAGGAGCAUGCUGGCUAGAAGAGGAGUA